UUGGAGGGCAAGUCUGGUGCCAGCAGCCGCGGUAAUUCCAGCUCCAAUAGCGUAUAUUAAAGUUGUUGCAGUUAAAAAGCUCGUAGUUGAAUUUCGGGAUCAGAGUGUCGGUCGUGCCUCGGUACGCACUGGUAUUAUUGGUUCCUACCUUCUGAAGAACCGCGAUGUCAUUAAUUUGGUGUCGUGGGGAAUCAGGACUGUUACUUUGAAAAAAUUAGAGUGUUUAAAGCAGGCUUACGCUUGAAUACAUUAGCAUGGAAUAAUAAAAUAGGACGGCAUGAUUCUAUUUUGUUGGUUUCUAGGAUCACCGUAAUGAUUAAUAGGGAUAGUUGGGGGCAUUAGUAUUCAAUUGUCAGAGGUGAAAUUCUUGGAUUUAUUGAGGACUAACUACUGCGAAAGCAUUUGCCAAGGAUGUUUUCAUUAAUCAAGAACGAAAGUUAGGGGAUCGAAGACGAUCAGAUACCGUCGUAGUCUUAACCAUAAACUAUGCCGACUAGGAAUCAGACGAUGUUAAUUUUUUAAUGACUCGUUUGGCACCUUACGGGAAACCAAAGUGUUUGGGUUC
RNAcentral lists this ribosomal RNA (565 nucleotides) under uncultured Glomeromycotina. RNAcentral's name for it is "SSU rRNA". It matches the Rfam family "Eukaryotic small subunit ribosomal RNA", at positions 548 to 1114 of the family's 1831-position model. Lineage: Eukaryota; Fungi; Glomeromycota. The record is from RNAcentral.